Molecule: transfer RNA, 67 nt
Filed under: Marmota monax (woodchuck)
Lineage: Eukaryota; Metazoa; Chordata; Mammalia; Rodentia; Sciuridae
Description: tRNA.Ala
Source: RNAcentral
GGUCAUGGCUCAGUGGUAGAGCACUUGCCUAGCUUGCAUGAGGCACUGGGUUCGAUCCCCAACACCA